AAAAGAACUAAGAGUGACGUCUGUCUUUGGUGUUCAGAUUCUCCUUUUUUGUCCGGACCUCCUAAUGCCUCCCUACUGAAGGAUGCAUCCCACCGAAAUGCCGGUUGAAGCAGAGUUUGUGGAGCCAGCGCACCGAUGAACUGAGAAGAACCUCUCCUUAUAUGCCCCCCCAAAAGCCCCUCGGGGUCAGGGGAGCUUAAAACCCUUCCUCCUGUGGAAGCAUCUGGUUCAUCUUAUAGAAGAUCAACAAGAAGAGCAGAUAUCUAUUAACUUUGGCCCUAUAUAAGGUGAGAUGCUGAGCUGCCAUUCGUUGCCGUGGUGCCUAUGCAAUGACAAUUCAGUCUAAUCUGAUCAAAUUAGUUGACUUGUGAGUCAUUAGGCCAACAAACAAUGCUUGCAUGCUCCACACAAAUGAAAACACACAGCUGUACAUUACAUUUAAUUUGAGAUUAAAUGCCUCCAUUUGAAAAUAAUGGAUUGACCUUUGUGGAUAUUUUAUUUCCUCAUGAAAGGUUUUUGCAGUGGACCGCGAGUCAUCCUGAGUCACCGCGACACUGUUAAUGGGUACAGUCACUGUGCUAAUAUGGCUCCAAUCUUUAUGGUCUUGAACUUAUAAAUGGACUUUAUUCAUGGGGGUCAUACACACUCUGAUAAGAACAGAAUAUCAGAACAAACAUCUACAUCUUUGCAGACUUGAUUGAGCUUGGCGUGAACUGGUUGAUAUUUAGUUUCCAGAGAACUGCAGAAAUGUAAUUGUUGGAAUUAUGACCCACUUUCUCCACGGAAAGAUCCACCUGACUCAGCUACUGAUCAAUGUUUCAAGUCAGGAGAGUUUAGUAUUCAAAGAUUCACACGCUGCAUACCGUGUGCGCAAAAUAAAUAUAUUUUGAAAAAAAAACAUUAGCCUCACAACUAUUCCAUACAUUCUUGGUCAUUACCUUAAUCGGAUGACUUUCAGUGAUUGGAGUCAGCCCCGCUUGCUUUUGAAUGCAAUUAAAUAUGUCUGUUAGUAAGCAAGGAUUGUCAAUUAGCACUUCCAAGUUUCCCAUUAUUUAAAGACCUACAUUCAUCACACGGACACAUAAAAUGCAGUACGCUAAAUAAAUGAUAAUGUAGCUUAGUUUCUGAUGGAUGUGCAAAUAAGCAGUUACUUGUGAAAAUGUAAUUUGUCAAUGUCAAUGUAUCUAAAACCAAUAUUCCAAGUUUGAUGGAAAAAAAAAACGGAAUCCCAGACCAACUCUUGGUUAUUUGAGCCAGGUCGCAGCAGACCCUCACACCACAUAACAGGCUUAAAAUUACUUCCCAAAGUCGCGCAUUAAUUCUGCAUCACAAAUCAGUGUAACGACACAAAGUCACUGUUGACACCUUUUGUAUAUCCAACAGAGCGAGCAACCAUCUUCAGAUUGACACAUGACAAUGACGAUGGUCUCGCAUCAAAGCGUUGAAGCAGGGGACUUCAUCUGCAUCCGUCUUCUCCCCGAGAGAACAACAACAAGUCGCACCAUGUCGUCCACGUCUCCUUCUUGACAUAUAAAUUGUCAGCAGCGGUGCCAGACACUCUAGAUACGAUUCAGCCAUUGUCUCCGGUCCUUGACUCGGCUCCCCAUAGCAUGCAUCAGGAGGCCAAUGAACAGCAAUCUGGCCUUGCCCCCUUCAAUGCUUUGUGAGUCUGUCGCGCAUAAUGCAUUGCAGCAGCAGGACAGCGG
This is a long non-coding RNA of Gasterosteus aculeatus aculeatus (three-spined stickleback), 1706 nucleotides long. The record is from Ensembl. NCBI's taxonomy places the organism in Eukaryota, Metazoa, Chordata, Actinopteri, Perciformes, Gasterosteidae.